AAGUAAUGCAAGUCGAACGGGAUUUUUUUCUGUAGCAAUACAGAGAAAAGUCUAGUGGCGAACGGGUGCGUAACACGUGAGCAACCUGCCGUGAAGUGGGGGAUAGCUCGCCGAAAGGCGAAUUAAUACCGCAUGUGGCCAAGGAAGACAUCUUCCUGACGCCAAAGCCGGGGUAACCUGGCGCUUCUCGAGGGGCUCGCGGCCUAUCAGCUUGUUGGUGAGGUAACGGCUCACCAAGGCUAUGACGGGUAGCUGGUCUGAGAGGACGACCAGCCACACUGGAACUGAGACACGGUCCAGACACCUACGGGUGGCAGCAGUCGAGAAUUUUUCACAAUGGGGGAAACCCUGAUGGAGCGACGCCGCGUGGAGGAUGAAGGUUUUCGGAUCGUAAACUCCUGUCAUUAGAGAACAAGGCACACGGUUUAACUGGCUGUGUGUUGAUAGUAUCUGAAGAGGAAGGGACGGCUAACUCUGUGCCAGCAGCCGCGGUAAUACAGAGGUCUCAAGCGUUGUUCGGAUUCAUUGGGCGUAAAGGGUGCGUAGGUGGCGAGGUAAGUCGGAUGUGAAAUCUCCAAGCUCAACUUGGAAACUGCAUUCGAUACUGCUUUGCUAGAGGAUUGUAGAGGGCAUUGGAAUUCACGGUGUAGCAGUGAAAUGCGUAGAUAUCGUGAGGAAGACCAGUGCGAAGGCGAAUGCCUGGGCAUUUCCUGACACUGAGCACGAGGCAGGGGAGCAAACGGAUAGAUACCCCGUAGUCCUGC
This 764-nucleotide ribosomal RNA is filed under the name uncultured Verrucomicrobiales bacterium. RNAcentral describes it as "bacterial SSU rRNA". It matches the Rfam family "Bacterial small subunit ribosomal RNA", at positions 50 to 799 of the family's 1533-position model. The record is from RNAcentral. Lineage: Bacteria; Pseudomonadati; Verrucomicrobiota; Verrucomicrobiia; Verrucomicrobiales.